RNAcentral lists this long non-coding RNA (1167 nucleotides) under Bemisia tabaci. RNAcentral's name for it is "lncRNA ENSASIAIIG010956". Lineage: Eukaryota; Metazoa; Arthropoda; Insecta; Hemiptera; Aleyrodidae. The record is from RNAcentral.
AUGGAAGACCGAGACUAUGACAGAAGAGAGAGAGGCAGGGACAGAGAAACCACCAAAGAUCGAGAUAGGGAUAGGGGCAGGGACAGAGACCAUGACAGAGAUAGAGAACGUGACAGAGACAGGGAUAGGUUUAAAGAAAAAGAUAGGAACAGAGAAAGAGAUCGCGACAGAGAUAGGUACAAAGAAGACCGUAAAAGAAGUAGUGAGGACAGGAGGGGAGAAGAGAGAAAAAGGGAAGAAUCUAGUCACUACAAUGAAUCAAAAAGAAAGCAAGAGGAGUACGAAGAAAGAAGCAGCUCCAUCAACAAGCGCAUUCCUCCUGAAAAGAAUAGCAGAAGAAAUUCAAUUGAUGUAAGUAACAAGAUAGAUGAGCUUGAUACAGAGAUCAAGAAAGAUUCCAAGAAUUCCUAUGAUAAACAUAGUAGAAAAGAGUCCAGUCAAGAUGAAAGGAUUGACUAUCAGGACUCGUACGACGACAAAGAUUCUAGAGAUAGAAAAAGUAGCCCAAAAAGGAGCUCUGAGAAAGAAGAUAAGGAAAGAAAAUCUAAAAGUUACAAGCUCUCAGAGGAAAAACAGUUGCUUUCAAGCAGAUCUCCAACUAACAAUGAGCAUGUAGUGAUGGAAUCGAACCACAUUUCAUCACCAGUUAGCAUCCAUUCACAACGAAGCAGCAGCUCUAAAAACACUGUUGUCAGGGCUGAAAUGACUACAAAAAAAAGUAAGAAACGGAAACUUAGCUCGUCCAGCUCUGCAAGCAGUAGCUCAGGCAGUAGCUCCAGCGACUCCGAUUCUAAUUCUAGCUCCAGUUCAUCAGUUGACAUGACAGUGGCCAAAAAAUAUUACAACCACAAAGGAAAACUAGUUCGUAAAGUUAUUACCAAAAAACAAAAGAACAAAGAUUCCAAGCGGAAGAAACGUAAAAAUGACAAAAUAGUAGUCAUUAAAAAAAUUAAGAAGAAACCGUCAAGCUCUGAUGACGAUUCAGAAUCAUCGAGUGACAAAAGUUCCCAUGAGCGGCAUAAACGUCGUAAAUCAAAAUCGAGUAAAAAGAAGAGUAAGAGGAAACACUCAGAAUCGGAUAGCGAUAGCACUGAUUCCACUGGUAGUUCUCGAAAAAAGAAGAAAAAGGCCAGAAGGAAAUCAAAAAGAACUUCAAGCAGUGAUUGA